Long non-coding RNA from Boleophthalmus pectinirostris (great blue-spotted mudskipper), 152 nucleotides. RefSeq lists it as uncharacterized. The record is from RefSeq and is a predicted model, not a curated record. NCBI's taxonomy places the organism in Eukaryota, Metazoa, Chordata, Actinopteri, Gobiiformes, Gobiidae. The transcript is spliced from 3 exons.
AGACUGAACAGGAGAACUUUAUUAUCCUCCUGAACUGAGAGAAGACUUACUUCUGUGGUUUAAUAUACCUCUUAUUUUACUGUCAGUCCUGAUGUACGUCAUGGAUAUCAUCUUAUUGAGACGUCUCUGGAAAAGAAGACGAGACAACAGGC